AUUGAGGACUGGAAUUAAAAAAGUAACAGCACUUGGUUGAUUCGGAACUAAAGAUCAAGACUUAUUUUUACUUACAGAUCACUCAAAACAACUUGGUUAGAAGCACCCCAGAAAGCAAAGAACAAAGAGCCCUCCCUUGUUCACUCUGCUCUCCGAAGUGACAGAGGUCCCAAAGCUGCAGCUGCACCAAACACAAGGUUCCUCUGCUCGAAGACCCCAGUGAGGCAGAGGGGUUUGACACCCCAAGUAUUGCCUUAUGGCCAGGCAGAGCCUGCAGCAGCUCUGGGCUGCUCUCCCUGCACCCACAAAGCUCUGCACCCAAAAGUGCCCACACACCUUUGAGUUGUCACCCAUUGGCCUCACACCAGCACCAUUACAGGGAGGGUUCAGCAAAGGUUGCAAUGUGUUUCCUGCCUGGUAUUUGCAAACAUUUACCAUUCUGUACAAACAAGCCACCAGCCAAGCAGGGGGAACAUUUGGUUUAAGACCCGCCCUCACAGUCCAUACCCUUGAGAGAGGUUCACAGUGAGUGGUGAUCACCACCAGCACAACCAACCCCAUCCACUGUUUCAGACCCUUAAAGCACAAUGUAGGAAACAGUCUGAAAACAGGUCGAGUGAUCCAGUGGGAAGAUCCAGCGGCACUGGCUCCUCCUCUCAGCACUGGACACCAGGGAAGUAUUUGGAAUAAAUAACAGAAAACCAAAUUGUGACUAUUUCACCUUCUUUCUGGCUGCUCCAGGGAUGACAGCAGGACCUGCCUGGAUGAGGGUAGAGAGGAGCGAGCUGUACAUCUCAGAGAAGAAAAAUUAAAUGGAAUUCUCCAUUUUAGAGUAACUGGGACUAAGAAAAAGAGGAAAACAAAAGAGAAAGUUUCCCCUCUAGUCAUACAAUCAGCCAAAAGUAGCAGAAAUUCAUGUGAGAACCUUUGCUGGCUUCGGUCACAGCCUGGAGCAGAGGAGCGUCCGUCUGCAGUCCUUGGAGCUCUCCAGCCAGCACCAAACCAGGGAGCUCCAGCACUUCCCUGCAAGUCAGAGUGGGUCAGGGUUGAUUUCUAGCACAGUUUGCCUCCAAGUAUUGGUUUCUAUUCGCACUGAAAUGUCCUGAGAGUAAGAAAUUGCCCUCCGCAGCCCGCGUCUGACCACCUUUCCUGUUGAUUCCUGCCUUAUUCCACAACUGGAUCUAAUUACUUCCUACUGCAAAGGGAGGUAUUGCACCUGAGAAAAGGUGGUGUAAUGUGCAGCCCUACGAAAGUCCUGCUGCUUUUCCCAUCACAGGGGCAGAUGAAAAAGCUUUGCAGCUCUCCCAAAAGGCAGCA
This 1317-nucleotide long non-coding RNA is filed under the name Strigops habroptila (Kakapo). Its description in RNAcentral is "lncRNA (ENSSHBG00005016884.1)". Lineage: Eukaryota; Metazoa; Chordata; Aves; Psittaciformes; Psittacidae. The record is from RNAcentral.